RNAcentral lists this ribosomal RNA (446 nucleotides) under uncultured bacterium. RNAcentral's name for it is "partial 16S ribosomal RNA". It matches the Rfam family "Bacterial small subunit ribosomal RNA", at positions 354 to 796 of the family's 1533-position model. The record is from RNAcentral.
GUAGGGAAUAUUGGACAAUGGGGGGAACCCUGAUCCAGCCAUGCCGCGUGGAGGAAGACUGCCCUCUGGGUUGUAAACUCCUUUUAUAUGGGAAGAACCGUCCUCAUUAAUGAGUGACCUGACGGUACCAUAGGAAUAAGCACCGGCUAACUCCGUGCCAGCAGCCGCGGUAAUACGGAGGGUGCAAGCGUUAUCCGGAUUCACUGGGUUUAAAGGGUGCGUAGGCGGAUAAAUAAGUCAGUGGGUAAAUCAACGGGCGCAACCUGUUAACUGCCAUUGAUACUGUGUAUGUAGAAUAUGAGAGAGGUAGGCGGAAUGUUGCAUGUAGCGGUGAAAUACUUAGAUAUGCUACAGAACACCGAUUGCAAAGGCAGCUUACUAUUUCGUAAUUGACGCUGAAGCACGAAAGCGUGGGUAGCGAACAGGAUUAGAAACCCUUGUAGUCC